RNAcentral lists this transfer RNA (74 nucleotides) under Streptomyces sp. MP131-18. Its description in RNAcentral is "tRNA-Gln". It matches the Rfam family "tRNA". Rfam says of the family: Transfer RNA (tRNA) molecules are approximately 80 nucleotides in length. Their secondary structure includes four short double-helical elements and three loops (D, anti-codon, and T loops). Further hydrogen bonds mediate the characteristic L-shaped molecular structure. tRNAs have two regions of fundamental functional importance: the anti-codon, which is responsible for specific mRNA codon recognition, and the 3' end, to which the tRNAs corresponding amino acid is attached (by aminoacyl-tRNA synthetases). tRNAs cope with the degeneracy of the genetic code in two manners: having more than one tRNA (with a specific anti-codon) for a particular amino acid; and 'wobble' base-pairing, i.e. permitting non-standard base-pairing at the 3rd anti-codon position. The record is from RNAcentral. Lineage: Bacteria; Bacillati; Actinomycetota; Actinomycetes; Kitasatosporales; Streptomycetaceae.
UCCCCUGUGGUGUAAUCGGCAGCACUGCGGUUUUUGGUACCGUAUGUCCAGGUUCGAGUCCUGGCGGGGGAGCC